RNAcentral lists this ribosomal RNA (279 nucleotides) under uncultured bacterium. Its description in RNAcentral is "partial 16S ribosomal RNA". It matches the Rfam family "Bacterial small subunit ribosomal RNA", at positions 506 to 784 of the family's 1533-position model. The record is from RNAcentral.
UGCCAGCAGCCGCGGUAAUACGAAGGUCCCGAGCGUUGUUCGGAAUCACUGGGCGUAAAGGGAGCGUAGGCGGCGCGGUAAGUCAGAUGUGAAAUCCCGGGGCUCAACCCCGGAACUGCAUCCGAUACUGCCGUGCUAGAGUAAUGGAGGGGUAGCUGGAAUUCUCGGUGUAGCAGUGAAAUGCGUAGAUAUCGAGAGGAACACUCGUGGCGAAGGCGAGCUACUGGACAUUUACUGACGCUGAGGCUCGAAGGCUAGGGUAGCGAAAGGGAUUAGAUA